GCCUCCUUAGCUCAGCUGGUAGAGCAACUGACUUGUAAUCAGUAGUAGGUCAUUGGUUCAUCCCGAUAGGAGGCUC
This 76-nucleotide transfer RNA is filed under the name compost metagenome. Its description in RNAcentral is "tRNA-Thr". It matches the Rfam family "tRNA". From Rfam's summary of the family: Transfer RNA (tRNA) molecules are approximately 80 nucleotides in length. The record is from RNAcentral.